RNAcentral lists this ribosomal RNA (301 nucleotides) under uncultured bacterium. RNAcentral's name for it is "partial 16S ribosomal RNA". It matches the Rfam family "Bacterial small subunit ribosomal RNA", at positions 509 to 807 of the family's 1533-position model. The record is from RNAcentral.
CAGUCGCCGCGGGAAUACGUAGGUGGCAAGCGUUGUCCGGAAUUAUUGGGCGUAAAGCGCGCGCAGGUGGUUUAAUAAGUCUGAUGUGAAAGCCCACGGCUCAACCGUGGAGGGUCUUUGGAAACUGUUAAGCUUGAGUGCAGGGGAGAAAAGUGGAAUUCCACGUGUAGCGGUGAAAUGCGUAGAGAUGUGGAGGAACACCAGUGGCGAAGGCGACUCUCUGGUCUGUAACUGACGCUGAGGAGCGAAAGCGUGGGGAGCGAACAGGAUUAGAUACCCCUGUAGUCCCUGUCUCUUAUAC